This is a long non-coding RNA of Schistocerca nitens (vagrant locust), 407 nucleotides long. RefSeq lists it as uncharacterized. Lineage: Eukaryota; Metazoa; Arthropoda; Insecta; Orthoptera; Acrididae. The record is from RefSeq and is a predicted model, not a curated record. The transcript has 4 exons.
GGCUGGGAGACGUCACGUCCUGUGACUCCCAGAGCAAACCUCUCCGUUCUACUUUCAGUGUUCGGAUAGAGCUCCUCUAGUUUCCGGACAGCUGCCCAGUGAGGCGGUCCCGUGUGAUAGGAGGUCGUCUCCUUAUCGCAGCAGACGAGGUCUUGACGUGGUGUGGAGAGCCACCUUAUGGCGGCGGUAGUGACAUAACCCUCUCGCCUGCGUCCACACGCCGACUACCGGAGCGAGCCGCACUCAAGGCUGCCUCCACUCUUCUCUGGAACUUGUUAUCAGCUAAGGAGUGGCGGCUCGGCGCGUGAUGGCACGGCUGUCGCCGCGGCGCGGGCUGGUCCUGCUGGCGGCGGCCUCCCUGGCGGUGCUGGUGUGUCUGCAGCAGAGGGAGCUGCCCUGGAGGCCCG